Molecule: long non-coding RNA, 1261 nt
Organism: Trichogramma pretiosum
Lineage: Eukaryota; Metazoa; Arthropoda; Insecta; Hymenoptera; Trichogrammatidae
Exons: 3
Source: RefSeq, a predicted model, not a curated record
GAAAUAAUUUACAGAUCCUUUUGAACUAGAAUUGGUGAAAAAAUUCGAAAGAUAUGGGUACUUCUUAUCUCGAGUUUAUGCUAUCCUUAUGUUCGUUGCCAAUUUGGUGCAUAAUAUGGUACCUUUCGUACCUCCUUUUCUGGACCUCAUCUUUCCAUUAAAAAGUGGUCCAAGGAAUAUAUUUUUACCAAAUCGAGGAGAAUUUAUUUGGUUCAAACAAGAAAAUUACCAUUAUAUUUUAUGCCUUUCGUACUUUGUCGAUGUCGUCGUCUUUUUGCCCAUCUACGUCGGCAUAGAGUCAGUUUAUACUUCUACGGUCAAAGAAAUUUGCGGUUUAUUCGCAAUAGUUUGGCAUGGCAAAAUUCGCUUUAUUUUGUAAUAUUUGUGAGAAAAAGUUAUAGUCUGAUUAUGGAUGCUUUAGUUAUAGGUUUGAACGACAAGUUUCCACUGACGAUUCGCCAACGUGUGAAAUGUCCGAUGCGAUGAAAUUAUACAAUGAGUGCAUAAGUUAACGAUUUUUAUACCAUACAAAAUUUAUAUCGUAUGCAAUAGACAUUUGAUAACAAUAUUUUAUUCGUCAAAUCCAUUCAACAAAACAUUUAUUUAUAAACAUGAUUUUCGUGCUUAUUUAACGUAAUGUAUUAUAUUCAAAAUUCAACCGUCGUAAGACAGAAUCGUAUUUGUUCUAGAUGCGUGAAAUUCUUGGAGUUUACGUACAGCAUUCCAAUUUUCAUUACACAACUUUCUUGUUUGAUAAUGUUUUCUCUUUGUUGCAUUUAUGUGAUAGAUAUUUUCAUUUUUUAAGUCAUAAUUUUUCAGUUCCCAAUAUUUAUAAAAGUUCAAAAUGUUACUAAGGUAUUGUUCCUCAAUGAAGUAUUAUUGAACGGAUUAAGAUUUGGUACUUUUGGUAUUGGCAUUUUAAUACACUUGUGGUAUUAUUUCUGGGUCGGACAACUAAUCAUAGAUGCCAGCAAUGAAAUUCAUUUCAGCGUUUAUUCCAGCAAAUGGUAUUUAACUCCGGCAAAAUUUCAGCGUUCGAUAGUGAUGCCAAGUACUAGGACACUUUUACCACGUUUCAUUACGUCCGGUAAAUUGAACCCUCUUUGUCUAGAAUCAUUUGGAGCAGUGAGUAAAAUUAUUGAUGGAUCAAUUUUGAUUAAAGAAAUUUUUAAAAUAUGCAUUUUAAGAUUUUGAAGACGAUUUCGUCAAAAAUAUUUUUAUAGAUUUGUAUUUAAUAAACUAAAAUAAGGUAAAUAAUACU